GAUGAACGCUGGCGGCGUGCUUAACACAUGCAAGUCGAACGAGAAAUGUAGACGGAAACCUUCGGGCGGAAGCCUUCAUUUCGAGUGGCGGACGGGUGAGUAACGCGUGGGUAACCUGCCUCAUACAGGGGGAUAACAGUUGGAAACGACUGUUAAUACCGCAUAAGACCACAGCAUCGCAUGAUGCGGGGGUAAAAACUCCGGUGGUAUGAGAUGGACCCGCGUUCGAUUAGCCAGUUGGCGGGGUAACGGCCCACCAAAGCGACGAUCGAUAGCCGAUCUGAGAGGAUGACCGGCCACAUUGGGACUGAGACACGGCCCAAACUCCUACGGGAGGCAGCAGUGGGGAAUAUUGCACAAUGGGGGAAACCCUGAUGCAGCGACGCCGCGUGAGUGAAGAAGUACUUCGGUAUGUAAAGCUCUAUCAGUAGGGAAGAAAAUGACGGUACCUGAGGAAGAAGCCCCGGCUAACUACGUG
This 478-nucleotide ribosomal RNA is filed under the name uncultured bacterium. Its description in RNAcentral is "partial 16S ribosomal RNA". It matches the Rfam family "Bacterial small subunit ribosomal RNA", at positions 28 to 507 of the family's 1533-position model. The record is from RNAcentral.